GGGUCGGUGCCCGAGCGGCCAAAGGGAGCAGACUGUAAAUCUGCCGGCACAGCCUACGAAGGUUCGAAUCCUUCCCGGCCCA
Molecule: transfer RNA, 82 nt
Filed under: Pseudonocardiaceae bacterium
Lineage: Bacteria; Bacillati; Actinomycetota; Actinomycetes; Pseudonocardiales; Pseudonocardiaceae
Also listed under: 4 other names
Description: tRNA-Tyr
Rfam family: tRNA
About the family: Transfer RNA (tRNA) molecules are approximately 80 nucleotides in length. Their secondary structure includes four short double-helical elements and three loops (D, anti-codon, and T loops).
Source: RNAcentral